ACCUGGUUGGCUCAGUUGGUUAAGCAUCUGACUUCUGUUCAGGUCAUGAUUUUGCACUCUGUGGGUUCAAGCCCCACAUCAGACU
Molecule: transfer RNA, 85 nt
Filed under: Felis catus (domestic cat)
Lineage: Eukaryota; Metazoa; Chordata; Mammalia; Carnivora; Felidae
Rfam family: tRNA
About the family: Transfer RNA (tRNA) molecules are approximately 80 nucleotides in length. Their secondary structure includes four short double-helical elements and three loops (D, anti-codon, and T loops). Further hydrogen bonds mediate the characteristic L-shaped molecular structure. tRNAs have two regions of fundamental functional importance: the anti-codon, which is responsible for specific mRNA codon recognition, and the 3' end, to which the tRNAs corresponding amino acid is attached (by aminoacyl-tRNA synthetases). tRNAs cope with the degeneracy of the genetic code in two manners: having more than one tRNA (with a specific anti-codon) for a particular amino acid; and 'wobble' base-pairing, i.e. permitting non-standard base-pairing at the 3rd anti-codon position.
Source: Rfam by way of RNAcentral